RNAcentral lists this ribosomal RNA (2281 nucleotides) under Salmonella enterica. RNAcentral describes it as "partial 23S ribosomal RNA". It matches the Rfam family "Bacterial large subunit ribosomal RNA", at positions 540 to 2803 of the family's 2925-position model. RNAcentral also lists the same sequence under 1 other name. Lineage: Bacteria; Pseudomonadati; Pseudomonadota; Gammaproteobacteria; Enterobacterales; Enterobacteriaceae. The record is from RNAcentral.
GAAAAAGAACCUGAAACCGUGUACGUACAAGCAGUGGGAGCACAGGUUUACCUGUGUGACUGCGUACCUUUUGUAUAAUGGGUCAGCGACUUAUAUUCUGUAGCAAGGUUAACCGAAUAGGGGAGCCGGAGGGAAACCGAGUCUUAAUUGGGCGUUAAGUUGCAGGGUAUAGACCCGAAACCCGGUGAUCUAGCCAUGGGCAGGUUGAAGGUUGGGUAACACUAACUGGAGGACCGAACCGACUAAUGUUGAAAAAUUAGCGGAUGACCUGUGGCUGGGGGUGAAAGGCCAAUCAAACCGGGAGAUAGCUGGUUCUCCCCGAAAGCUAUUUAGGUAGCGCCUCGUGAAUUCAUCUCCGGGGGUAGAGCACUGUUUCGGCUAGGGGGCCAUCCCGGCUUACCAACCCGAUGCAAACUGCGAAUACCGGAGAAUGUUAUCACGGGAGACACACGGCGGGUGCUAACGUCCGUCGUGAAGAGGGAAACAACCCAGACCGCCAGCUAAGGUCCCAAAGUCAUGGUUAAGUGGGAAACGAUGUGGGAAGGCCCAGACAGCCAGGAUGUUGGCUUAGAAGCAGCCAUCAUUUAAAGAAAGCGUAAUAGCUCACUGGUCGAGUCGGCCUGCGCGGAAGAUGUAACGGGGCUAAACCAUGCACCGAAGCUGCGGCAGCGACACUGUGUGUUGUUGGGUAGGGGAGCGUUCUGUAAGCCUGUGAAGGUGUGUCGUGAGGCAUGCUGGAGGUAUCAGAAGUGCGAAUGCUGACAUAAGUAACGAUAAAGCGGGUGAAAAGCCCGCUCGCCGGAAGACCAAGGGUUCCUGUCCAACGUUAAUCGGGGCAGGGUGAGUCGACCCCUAAGGCGAGGCCGAAAGGCGUAGUCGAUGGGAAACGGGUUAAUAUUCCCGUACUUGGUGUUACUGCGAAGGGGGGACGGAGAAGGCUAUGUUGGCCGGGCGACGGUUGUCCCGGUUUAAGCGUGUAGGUGUGUGUUCCAGGUAAAUCCGGUUCACUUUAACACUGAGGCGUGACGACGAGGCACUACGGUGCUGAAGCAACAAAUGCCCUGCUUCCAGGAAAAGCCUCUAAGCAUCAGGUAACAUCAAAUCGUACCCCAAACCGACACAGGUGGUCAGGUAGAGAAUACCAAGGCGCUUGAGAGAACUCGGGUGAAGGAACUAGGCAAAAUGGUGCCGUAACUUCGGGAGAAGGCACGCUGACACGUAGGUGAAGUGAUUUACUCAUGGAGCUGAAGUCAGUCGAAGAUACCAGCUGGCUGCAACUGUUUAUUAAAAACACAGCACUGUGCAAACACGAAAGUGGACGUAUACGGUGUGACGCCUGCCCGGUGCCGGAAGGUUAAUUGAUGGGGUCAGCGCAAGCGAAGCUCCUGAUCGAAGCCCCGGUAAACGGCGGCCGUAACUAUAACGGUCCUAAGGUAGCGAAAUUCCUUGUCGGGUAAGUUCCGACCUGCACGAAUGGCGUAAUGAUGGCCAGGCUGUCUCCACCCGAGACUCAGUGAAAUUGAACUCGCUGUGAAGAUGCAGUGUACCCGCGGCAAGACGGAAAGACCCCGUGAACCUUUACUAUAGCUUGACACUGAACAUUGAGCCUUGAUGUGUAGGAUAGGUGGGAGGCUUUGAAGUGUGGACGCCAGUCUGCAUGGAGCCGACCUUGAAAUACCACCCUUUAAUGUUUGAUGUUCUAACGUGGACCCGUUACCCGGGUUGCGGACAGUGUCUGGUGGGUAGUUUGACUGGGGCGGUCUCCUCCUAAAGAGUAACGGAGGAGCACGAAGGUUGGCUAAUCCUGGUCGGACAUCAGGAGGUUAGUGCAAUGGCAUAAGCCAGCUUGACUGCGAGCGUGACGGCGCGAGCAGGUGCGAAAGCAGGUCAUAGUGAUCCGGUGGUUCUGAAUGGAAGGGCCAUCGCUCAACGGAUAAAAGGUACUCCGGGGAUAACAGGCUGAUACCGCCCAAGAGUUCAUAUCGACGGCGGUGUUUGGCACCUCGAUGUCGGCUCAUCACAUCCUGGGGCUGAAGUAGGUCCCAAGGGUAUGGCUGUUCGCCAUUUAAAGUGGUACGCGAGCUGGGUUUAGAACGUCGUGAGACAGUUCGGUCCCUAUCUGCCGUGGGCGCUGGAGAACUGAGGGGGGCUGCUCCUAGUACGAGAGGACCGGAGUGGACGCAUCACUGGUGUUCGGGUUGUCAUGCCAAUGGCACUGCCCGGUAGCUAAAUGCGGAAGAGAUAAGUGCUGAAAGCAUCUAAGCACGAAACUUGCCCCGAG